This is a long non-coding RNA of Sinocyclocheilus rhinocerous, 200 nucleotides long. RefSeq lists it as uncharacterized. NCBI's taxonomy places the organism in Eukaryota, Metazoa, Chordata, Actinopteri, Cypriniformes, Cyprinidae. The record is from RefSeq and is a predicted model, not a curated record. The transcript is spliced from 4 exons.
GAGGGAAGCGCUCAGACAGCAGACUGAACCACCCUCUACAUCUUUUGGAUGUCUUGAAAGACAAAACUCUCCACUGCGGUCAGGAAUAUCCACUGCUGGCUUUUCCUCCCAAACCACAGUCAUUAGUCAUGGUAUUAAAAGAAAACGUAACGAGUCUCCAGAUAUCACUGCACAGUCACCGAUGACUACAGGCAAGUCAA